UACGUAGGGUGCGAGCGUUAGUCGGAAUUACUGGGCGUAAAGCGUGCGCAGGCGGUUUUGCAAGCCGGAUGUGAAAUCCCCGGGCUCAACCUGGGAAUGGCAUUUGGGACUGCAAGGCUCGAGUGCGGCAGAGGAGACUGGAAUUCCUGGUGUAGCAGUGAAAUGCGUAGAGAUCGGGAGGAACACCAGUGGCGAAGGCGGCUACCUGGACCAGCACUGACACUGAAGCACGAAAGCGUGGGGAGCAAACAGG
RNAcentral lists this ribosomal RNA (253 nucleotides) under uncultured bacterium. RNAcentral describes it as "partial 16S ribosomal RNA". It matches the Rfam family "Bacterial small subunit ribosomal RNA", at positions 524 to 776 of the family's 1533-position model. The record is from RNAcentral.